Molecule: ribosomal RNA, 447 nt
Filed under: uncultured bacterium
Lineage: Bacteria
Description: partial 16S ribosomal RNA
Rfam family: Bacterial small subunit ribosomal RNA
Source: RNAcentral
AACGAACGCUGGCGGCAGGCUUAACACAUGCAAGUCGAACGCACCGCAAGGUGAGUGGCAGACGGGUGAGUAACGCGUGGGAACCUUCCUCUUAGUAAAGAAUAGCCCAGGGAAACUUGGAUUAAUACUUUAUACGCCCUACGGGGGAAAGAUUUAUCGCUAAAAGAUGGGCCCGCGUUGGAUUAGCUAGUUGGUGAGGUAAUGGCUCACCAAGGCUACGAUCUAUAGCUGAUCUGAGAGGAUGAUCAGCCACACUGGAACUGAGACACGGUCCAGACUCCUACGGGAGGCAGCAGUGGGGAAUAUUGGACAAUGGGCGCAAGCCUGAUCCAGCCAUGCCGCGUGAAUGACGAAGGCCUUCGGGUUGUAAAGUUCUUUGGCAGGGGAAAAUCAUGAUGGUACCCUGAAAAUAAGCUCCGGCUAACUUCGUGCCAGCAGCCGCCGUAA